GGAGGGGUGUCCGAGCGGCUUAAGGUGAUUGACUCGAAAUCAAUUGUGCAGAGAUGCACCGGGGGUUCAAAUCCUCUCCCCUCCGCCA
Molecule: transfer RNA, 88 nt
Filed under: Clostridiales bacterium
Lineage: Bacteria; Bacillati; Bacillota; Clostridia; Eubacteriales
Description: tRNA-Ser
Rfam family: tRNA
About the family: Transfer RNA (tRNA) molecules are approximately 80 nucleotides in length. Their secondary structure includes four short double-helical elements and three loops (D, anti-codon, and T loops).
Source: RNAcentral